UACGGAGGGUGCAAGCGUUAUCCGGAUUUACUGGGUUUAAAGGGUGCGUAGGUGGGUCUGUAAGUCAGUGGUGAAAUCUCCGAGCUUAACUCGGAAACUGCCAUUGAUACUAUAGGUCUUGAAUUAUCUGGAGGUAAGCGGAAUAUGUCAUGUAGCGGUGAAAUGCUUAGAUAUGACAUAGAACACCAAUUGCGAAGGCAGCUCGCUACACAAUUAUUGACUCUGAGGCACGAAAGCGUGGGGAUCAAACAGG
This 253-nucleotide ribosomal RNA is filed under the name uncultured bacterium. Its description in RNAcentral is "partial 16S ribosomal RNA". It matches the Rfam family "Bacterial small subunit ribosomal RNA", at positions 524 to 776 of the family's 1533-position model. The record is from RNAcentral.